CUGCUGCCUUCCGUAGGAGUUUGGUCCGCGUCUCAGUACCAAUGUGGGGGGUUAACCUCUCAGUCCCCCUAUGUAUCGUCGCCUUGGUGAGCCGUUACCUCACCAACCAGCUAAUACAACGCAUGCCCAUCAUCAACCACCGGAGUUUUCAACCCCAUGCGAUACCGCAUGAGAUAUUAUGGGGUAUUAGUACCAAUUUCUCAGUGUUAUCCCCCUGUUGAUGGUAGGUUGCAUACGCGUUACGCACCCGUGCGCCGGUCG
This 261-nucleotide ribosomal RNA is filed under the name uncultured bacterium. RNAcentral describes it as "partial 16S ribosomal RNA". The record is from RNAcentral.